GACGAACGCUGGCGGCGUGCUUAACACAUGCAAGUCGAACGCUGAAGCUUGGUGCUUGCACUGGGUGGAUGAGUGGCGAACGGGUGAGUAAUAAGUGAGUAACCUGCCCUUGACUCUGGGAUAAGCCUGGGAAACUGGGUCUGAUACUGGAUACGACAUGUCACCGCAUGGUGGUGUGUGGAAAGGGUUUUACUGGUUUUGGAUGGGCUCACGGCCUAUCAGCUUGUUGGUGGGGUAAUGGCUCACCAAGGCGACGACGGGUAGCCGGCCUGAGAGGGUGACCGGCCACACUGGGACUGAGACACGGCCCAGACUCCUACGGGAGGCAGCAGUGGGGAAUAUUGCACAAUGGGCGGAAGCCUGAUGCAGCGACGCCGCGUGAGGGAUGACGGCCUUCGGGUUGUAAACCUCUUUCAGCACGGAAGAAGCGAAAGUGACGGUACGUGCAGAAGAAGCGCCGGCUAACUACGUG
Molecule: ribosomal RNA, 472 nt
Filed under: uncultured bacterium
Lineage: Bacteria
Description: partial 16S ribosomal RNA
Rfam family: Bacterial small subunit ribosomal RNA
Source: RNAcentral